Molecule: small nucleolar RNA, 81 nt
Organism: Lupinus angustifolius (narrow-leaved blue lupine)
Lineage: Eukaryota; Viridiplantae; Streptophyta; Magnoliopsida; Fabales; Fabaceae
Source: Rfam
CAGUGUGAUGAAAAACUGUGGAAGCCGCACCAGACUGACCAGAGAAUGAUGUAGCAAAAGAGCGCCCAGCACCGUCUGGAA